CCUACGGGAGGCAGCAGUGGGGAAUAUUGGGCAAUGGAGGCAACUCUGACCCAGCAACGCCGCGUGAAUGAUGAAGGUCUUCGGAUUGUAAAGUUCUGUGAUGGGGGAUGAACACAAUGACGGUACCCCAAUAGCAAGCCACGGCUAACUACGUGCCAGCAGCCGCGGUAAUACGUAGGUGGCAAGCGUUAUCCGGAAUGACUAGGCGUAAAGGGGGCGUAGGUGGUUUAGUAAGUUGGCGGUGUAAUUCCGGGGCUCAACCUCGGCGCUACCGCCAAAACUAUUAGACUAGAGUGCAGGAGGGGUAAGUGGAAUUCCUAGUGUAGCGGUGGAAUGCGUAGAUAUUAGGAGGAACAUCAGGGGCGAAGGUGACUUACUGGACUGUAACUGACACUGAGGCACGAAAGCGUGGGGAGCAAACAGGAUUAGAUACCCGGGUAGUC
This 443-nucleotide ribosomal RNA is filed under the name uncultured bacterium. RNAcentral describes it as "partial 16S ribosomal RNA". It matches the Rfam family "Bacterial small subunit ribosomal RNA", at positions 338 to 795 of the family's 1533-position model. The record is from RNAcentral.